CCUACGGGAGGCAGCAGUAGGGAAUAUUGCUCAAUGGGGGAAACCCUGAAGCAGCAACGCCGCGUGGAGGAUGAAGGUUUUAGGAUUGUAAACUCCUUUUGUUAGAGAAGAUUAUGACGGUAUCUAACGAAUAAGCACCGGCUAACUCCGUGCCAGCAGCCGCGGGAAUACGGAGGGUGCAAGCGUUACUCGGAAUCACUGGGCGUAAAGAGUGCGUAGGCGGGGUAAUAAGUCAGAUGUGAAAUCCGGUAGCUUAACUACAGAACUGCAUUUGAAACUGUUACUCUGGAGUGUGGGAGAGGUAGGUGGAAUGCUUGGUGUAGGGGUAAAAUCCGUAGAGAUCAAGAAGAAUACUCAUUGCGAAGGCGACCUGCUGGAACAUUACUGACGCUGAUGCACGAAAGCGUGGGGAGCGAACAGGAUUAGAUACCCCUGUAGUC
RNAcentral lists this ribosomal RNA (440 nucleotides) under uncultured bacterium. Its description in RNAcentral is "partial 16S ribosomal RNA". It matches the Rfam family "Bacterial small subunit ribosomal RNA", at positions 338 to 795 of the family's 1533-position model. The record is from RNAcentral.